CAUUAAAUGACUGAUAAAAAGUAUUGAUUUUUUAAAUCAAAUAAUAAUAGAUUUUUUCCUAUUUUUAAUGG
This 71-nucleotide transfer RNA is filed under the name Leptothorax acervorum. Its description in RNAcentral is "tRNA-Lys". Lineage: Eukaryota; Metazoa; Arthropoda; Insecta; Hymenoptera; Formicidae. The record is from RNAcentral. RNAcentral also lists the same sequence under 1 other name.